CGCCACGCCCGCUCAAGAAACUCAAUGAAUUGACGGGGCCCGCACAAGCGGUGGAGUAUGUGGUUUAAUUCGAUGCAACGCGAAGAACCUUACCUGGUCUUGACAUCCCGGAGACCCUUAGGAAACUAGGGGGUGCUUCCAUCUGGAAGAAUCUGGAGACAGGUGCUGCAUGGCUGUCGUCAGCUCGUGUCGUGAGAUGUUGGGUUAAGUCCCGCAACGAGCGCAACCCUUGCCUUUAGUUGCCAGCAGUUCGGCUGGGCACUCUAAAGGGACUGCCGGUGUUAAACCGGAGGAAGGUGGGGAUGACGUCAAGUCCUCAUGGCCUUUAUGACCAGGGCUACACACGUACUACAAUGGCCGAUACAAAGGGCAGCGACACUGCGAGGUGAAGCCAAUCCCGUAAAAUCGGUCUCAGUCCGGAUUGGAGUCUGCAACUCGACUCCAUGAAGUUGGAAUCGCUAGUAAUCGUGGAUCAGCAUGCCACGGUGAAUACGUUCCCGGGCCUU
Molecule: ribosomal RNA, 506 nt
Filed under: uncultured Desulfobulbus sp.
Lineage: Bacteria; Pseudomonadati; Thermodesulfobacteriota; Desulfobulbia; Desulfobulbales; Desulfobulbaceae
Description: bacterial SSU rRNA
Rfam family: Bacterial small subunit ribosomal RNA
Source: RNAcentral